Molecule: RNA transcript, 9690 nt
Organism: Globicephala melas (long-finned pilot whale)
Lineage: Eukaryota; Metazoa; Chordata; Mammalia; Artiodactyla; Delphinidae
Gene: SSH1
Gene name: slingshot protein phosphatase 1
Source: RefSeq, a predicted model, not a curated record
CCUCCCCUUAAAACAGAAAAACAGGAUAUGCUCCAAAGCAGCCCUGGAAAAUGGAGAGCUCAGGGCUGAACAAGCGUGUGGAGUAGCAGCGCCGGCCAGGGGCGCUCUGUUAGCAGGCAUCCGUCUGCGAUGCCUUGGAAGGCAUGUGGGGAAACAUCAGGAAACCUGAAAAUUCCUCCGCGGAAAUUACUCAGGGGAGCAGCAGAGCAGGAUUGUUGGAGGCUGGCAGCGAUGAAGAUCGCAAGUUAAACCACAGCUUAAGUGAGAGUUUUUUCAUGGUGAAAGGAGCAGCCCUCUUCUUACAACAGGGAAGCAGCCCUCAAGGCCAGCGGAGUCUUCAGCAUCCCCACAAGCAUGCAGGGGACCUGCCUCAACAUCUUCAAGUAAUGAUCAACCUUCUGCGUUGUGAAGAUAGAAUCAAGCUGGCUGUGCGCUUGGAGAGCGCCUGGGCUGAGCGGGCCCGCUACAUGGUGGUGGUGGACAGCAGCGGGCGCCAGGACACGGAGGAGAGUAUCCUGCUGGGAGUCGACUUUUCCAGUAAGGAAAGUAAAAGCUGUACCAUUGGGAUGGUUCUCCGACUGUGGAGCGACACAAAAAUCCACCUUGACGGAGACGGUGGAUUCAGCGUCAGCACGGCAGGAAGGAUGCACAUCUUCAAGCCCGUGUCUGUCCAGGCCAUGUGGUCUGCCCUGCAGGUCCUCCACAAGGCCUGCGAGGUGGCACGCAGGCACAACUACUUCCCCGGGGGCGUGGCGCUGCUCUGGGCCUCCUACUACGAGAGCUGCAUUGGCUCCGAGCAGAGCUGCAUCAACGAGUGGAACGCCAUGCAGGACCUGGAGUCCACGAGGCCCGACUCCCCCGCCCUGUUCGCGGACAAGCCAACUGAAGGGGAGAGGACGGAGCGUCUCAUCAAAGCCAAACUCCGGAGCAUCAUGAUGAGUCAGGACCUGGAGAACGUGACGUCCAAGGAAAUCCGUAAUGAAUUAGAGAAACAGAUGAACUGUAACUUGAAAGAAUUCAAGGAAUUCAUAGACAACGAGAUGCUCCUUAUCUUGGGACAGAUGGACAAGCCCUCCCUCAUCUUCGACCACCUUUAUCUCGGCUCUGAAUGGAAUGCAUCCAAUCUGGAGGAACUGCAGGGCUCAGGUGUUGACUACAUUUUAAACGUCACUAGAGAAAUAGAUAAUUUUUUCCCUGGCUUAUUUGCGUAUCAUAACAUCCGAGUCUAUGAUGAAGAGACCACAGACCUCCUCGCCCACUGGAACGAGGCGUACCAUUUUAUAAACAAAGCAAAGAGGAACCACUCCAAGUGCCUGGUACAUUGCAAAAUGGGCGUCAGUCGCUCUGCUUCCACGGUCAUAGCCUACGCGAUGAAGGAAUUUGGCUGGCCCCUGGAGAAAGCCUACAACUACGUGAAGCAAAAACGCAGCAUCACACGCCCCAACGCGGGCUUUAUGAGGCAGCUGUCUGAGUAUGAAGGCAUCUUGGACGCCAGCAAACAACGGCACAACAAGCUGUGGCGCCAGCAGCCUGUGGAUGACCCAGCGGGGCCUGGGGACUUCCUGCCGGAGACCCUGGACGGCAGCCCGGAAGCCCAGCCGCCCUGCCUGGAUGCCGCCGCCCAGCCUGGGUUCCCGGGCAGCGGGACCCCGGGGGGACCCGCUCUCCCCUGCUGUCUCCAGCGACUCUCAGACCCCCUGUUGCACUGCCCCAGAGACGAGACGGGCGGCUGGGUCCACCUGGAGGAUCUGGAGAGGGAUGCUCUGCUGGAAGAAGCCGCUCAGCCGGCAGAGGCAUCCAAGCCGGCCGGACACGCCCCAGGAGGUCCUGGACUCUGUGAGAAGGAAGUGAAGAAGAAACCAGAGUUUGGGAGCCCCCACGCCCGGGGUGGCGCGUCGCCGCAGGUGGAGGAGAUGGAAAGGGAGGAGGCCCCGGGAGCAGGGAAGUGGGGGCAGCCUGUUACUGAGCUCGAUAACCUGCUGAAUUGGGAAAACCUAAAUAACAACAACAGCAAGAGGAGCUGCCCGGACGACUUCGAGCACGAUGCGAUCUUUGGGAUCCUUAACAAAGUGAAGCCUUCCUACAAAUCCUGCGCCGACUGCAUGUACCCUGCAGCCAGCGGGAUUCCCGAGGCCUUCGGGGAGCGAUGCAAGAACCCCGGUGCUCCCGCCAUCUGCACCCAGCCCACCUUCCUGCCCCACCUCACGUCUUCCCCCAUGGCCCAUGUGGCCAGCAGGUCCCGAGCUUCAGAGAAACUGUCCUCUGGCCCAACCGAAACUCCCCCAUGCCUACCACCAGCAGGCUCGAGGAGGCCAGACAUCAGUAGCCCUGGGGCUGGGGCUGCCCCAGAGCUACCAGCCAGCCUUUUGGAACCUUCCAGAGAGACUCACAAAGUCCUACCAAAGUCCCUCCUUUUGAAGAAUUCUCACUGUGUUAAGAACGCUCCCAACAUGGAAGUAGCGAAGGACGACUCGCCACCCAAGAAAGAUCCGAAGCCAGCCAAGGACCUGCGGCUCCUGUUCAGUAAAGAAGCCGAGAAACCGACAGCCAACAGCUACCUGAUGCAGCACCAGGAAUCCAUCAUCCAGCUGCAGAAGGCGGGCUUGGUCCGCAAGCACACCAAAGAACUGGAGAGGCUGAAGGGCACGCCGGCCGACCUGGCGGCCCCCUGCAAGGAUGGCCCCGCCAGCAGGCUGGAGGCCAGCAUCCCCGAGGAGAGCCAGGACCCGGCUCUGCCUGGCCAAGCCCAGGGCGACGAGAAGCCCGAGGCUGGCCCCCCUCCGUCAGAAGGAGCCCCACUGAAGAGCCCCCCGCUCUUCCUCUGCCGCCCAGACCACACCAGUCACUUCUCAAAAGACUUCCUGAAGACCAUCUGCUACACCCCGACCUCAUCCUCCAUGAGCUCCAACCUGACCCGGAGCUCAAGCAGCGACAGCAUCCACAGCGUCCGUGGGAAGCCCGGGUUGGUGAAGCAGCGCACGCAGGAGAUCGAGACCCGGCUCCGGCUGGCGGGCCUCACGGUCUCGUCCCCGCUCAAGCGCUCUCACUCCCUCGCCAAGCUCGGGAGCCUCAACCUCUCGACGGAGGACCUGUCCAGUGAGGCCGACGUGUCCACCGUGGCUGACUCCCAGGAUGCCAGGUUGAGCGAGUCUUCCUUCUUGCAUGAGCCCCCAGUGGCCCCCAGGAACCCAACUGCAACCUCUAAACCAUCAGGGAAAUCUGCCCCGGAAAACUUGAAAAGCCCUUCGUGGAUGAGCAAAAGCUGACCCGCCUUUGGCUGCGUUUGGACUUCUGUGAUCCCUCCUUUAGUUUCACUGUGGAUUUUGGUCCACCCCUUCUGUCUUGAUUUCCUUUAAAUAAUUGGCGUUAUCCUUACUUUUCCUCCCCUCUUGCGGCAAAGGGGAGAAGAAGAAACAACAAUACCUAACAUACAGCACAAGAAGAAAGGGGAGCAUUGGUUUUGUGGCCUGGGGGAACCAGCAGCUGUUGACCAGUAGACUCUGACUCCAAAUGAGGUGUUCCGGGUGCUUCUCGUGUGUUAAGAAGAGCAUUUAUACAGCGAUGCACACACAUCAAAAAUCCUCUGGCACGGGGCUUCCCUGGUGAUGCAAUGGUUAAGAAUCCGCCUGCUGAUGCAGGGGACACGGGUUCGAGCCCUGGCCCGGGAAGACCCCACAUGCCGCAGAGCAACUAAGCCCGUGCGCCACAACUACCGAGCCUGCGCUCAUAGAGCUCACGCUCCGCAACAAGAGAAGCCACGACAAUAAGAAGCCCGCUCACCGCAGUGAAGAGCAGCCCCUGCUCGCCACAACUAGAGAAAUCCCGUGCACAGCAAUGAAGACCCAACACAGCCAAAAAACAAAACAUCCUCCGGCACAACCUGCAAAGGAAUAGCUGUGGCAUUGGCAUCGCCACCACGGCACGUGUCCUAGCUCAUUCAGGCCCUUCUGGGAAAACUCCUGGAUGGCAGUAGAAGUCCUACCUCUGAUCCUGCUCUGCUUUUUAUUUUUAAACUCCAAUAAUGACCAAGGCUCAUUCCAGGGAAAAAUGCUGUGUCAGAAAAGAUUUUUCCGAAAGAGAACUUUCUGUUGUGCGGUUGUCAGGACCCCGAAAAGUAUUAAGACUUUUAAGGUGCCUGCGCCAAACACUGCUAGUUAAAGUGACACGAAGGCGCUAAUGCUGCUGUCAGACCAACUCCAGGGUGAGUGGAGGUCCUCUGAGCAGCUGACUUGCCUGUCCUGGCGUGUUGUCACAGCUGAGUGACGUGUGUCUGGCCGGCCCUGGGGUGAGGUGGGGGGAAAUGUGUGUGGGGUCCUCAGUUUGUUGCUAAAGGUCAGUCUUCAGUUGUCCCCCAUCUGGGGAGAAGGACCCACAAAGUAUCAUUGAGUCUUAUCUGCUGCGGAACCCAGUGCGGUCGUGUUGUGGUUCGUAGGGACUCAAGUGUCUGGCGGGGCCGGGGAUUCUGAGAUGUGGGUCACCCCGUCAGGAGCCCCAGCACUCAGGUUCAUUAGGUCACGUGUACUCACGUUUGGGGAGGAAAAGGAGAUUUCAGCAGUGAGGAACGCUCAGUCACUCUCAAGGAACAACUUAGCAGCAGCUUCUCUGAGAAGUGGGACUGGGGGAAGCCCUGGCAGACGUUUACAGUCGCCCCUUCCUGCGGUGAGAACGCUGCUUCCUGCUUCUCUGCGGCUCUUCCCAGUGGGCAGGACAGCGCGUGGUCCUGAGUGUCUGGGAGUAGUCCCUCCAAGGAUCUUGAGUGGAGGGACUCCUCUGAUGUUGGCCAGCAAGGCAGGAUGUUAAAAUAUUUUGGAGAGAGAGAAGAGGUCUGUUAAGUUUAAUUCAGGGGUCAGCAAACCAUGGUGUAUGGCCCCAAGAGCUAAGAUUGUUUUUUAUAGUUUUAAGGGAUUAUCAAAAAAUUAACAAAUAGGCGACAGAGACCAUGUAGCCUGCAAAGCCUAAGCUAGCUACCUUGCGAUCAGGCUCUUUAUAGAAAACUUUCGCCGAGUCCUGGCCAGUGAAACUAGAAAUCCUUCAAGGGCCAGCCAAAUUCCAAACGUGGGUAAAUGAGUCACCCUCUUACGCUGGUCAGAACCGGGCCCCCAAGAGUAGCCCAGGCAGGGUCUGCAGGAAGAAGGCUAGUCCGUAUUUCAACUAGCGGGUAGAGUUUUUGCAAAAACCCUCUCUCCAGAAACUUUUUCUCCCUGGCCUUAUUUUUUUUUAUUAAAGUAUACGUUAUUUUAUCCUAUCGGAAUUUGUUUUCCCACCACUGUCAACUGAAAUCAGCUUAAAAGGUGAUUAUCCACUUAUUGCGGAAAACCCAGUUGGGUUUCCUCCUCUCUCUCAGCCAACAAGAGCACAGUCUCAAAAAAUAAAUAUCAGGUUCAGUGUUUUGCCAAAUUAAAUUUCAUGUGGUGGAUCAACUUUUGUGUCAAAAUAAUUCUUUAAAUUUGAUGAUGCCAGGCUUAUGUUGGUUUUUUAACCAUGCCUGGGUAUGAUACAGUUUUGAAGACCUUAAUUUUGAAAGCCAUAAUUUUUCUUAUCCAGUUAAAGGGUGGGAGGAGGAUUACGAGUACUAGUGGGUCUCUGGCUUUUGGCAAAGUUAUCCAUUCGCUGUCAGGAGCUAGUCUAUCGGUAUCUAAACAGACCAGGGCCCAGGUGCCCAUCAUCAGAGCAAAAUGAAGCGUUCUUGAUGGAUGACACUGUAGCCUGGAGAAGAGGGUGAAGGUUUUUCUCUGAGACCCAGAUCAGUGGCACACAAACAUAUGGCAGAUUGCUAUUUUAAAUGUUAUACUAACAAGACAAGAGCAUUCUCCCAGGCUUGGAGACACCUUGGCAAAGACAGAUUCCUACCGGUCUCUGAAAAGAAAGCUUACACCAUAAGCUGUGCCACGCCUUGACCAGUGCUUCACCCGUAAGCUUAGCAGAUGGGGAAAUUCCGAAUGUAGGCUGCAGUGGUUUAUGCUGUGAAAGUCACUGAUUUUGGUGACCGCCAUCUUCGUGGAAUGCCUUUGUCGAACUCGGCGAGAACAAAAGCUGUCUAAAUAAGCCCAGUACCCUGUGAAUUCAGCUGCAUUUCCUCUUCCACCUCACCUUUCCCUCCCUUGCACUCUCAUUCACGUGGCAUGCCAAAAUUAGAGCGAACUCCUCUAGGUCUUCCUCUUGCAACGAUACGGGGAGGUCUUCUCAUCAAGUUUUGUUGUGUCGAAGAGGAGAGGUGGUCACAGAGAGAGGGGAAACCGUGCUGCCCUUGAUCGGGACCUGACCUUGCCGAUUUCCAUGUCUUUGUCUUGUAGCUACUUCAGGGCCUUGGAGCAAUGUGCAUCAUUCCAUGAACUUCCUGACAACAAGGUUCUUGCCCCCAGUCUCACCUGCCUCCUUGGUCUCAGUGCAGGCACCAGUGCCAACCUCUCGGCUGCCAGACAGCUGUCUGCUGGGUGGAGGUACCCGGUCCAUCAGGCGAGCAGGUUACUCUGUCCAGCUCCCUUCCGCUCCAUCCCACCCUCUCCAGCUAAAAAGCAUUCCAGCCCUUUCUAAAGCCUUCUCCCUCCUGGAUAAGCCCAGAGGAUGCCUGGGAUGGAACCAAAGAGGCCAUAGAAUGAACAUCGUCAGGACAACCCUGUACGUCGGCACUGUGCACAGGUGCCGUCCCAGGAGGCUGAUGGAUCCCCUGCUCCCUAGUGAGAGGAAAUGCUGUCACGUAGUCGAGAGCAUGUGAGUAACCUCACCCAAAGUGUCCGAAGAGCGACUUGCUGUCUGUUGGCUGGAAACGCUUGGCGCCAGAACACAUCUCCCAGAACCCUGCUGUGGCUCGCCACCCGGCAGGGCUUCCCCGCACCCACGCGGCCGGCACAGUGACGGCCGCCCCUUCACCUCCGGCAGGGGAGCCGGGCGGGCAGGAGAUUUGUGACAUCGGGACAGCGUGGUGCAGGGUCACCGGCUGCUGUCCCACCCCCAGCGUCUCCCCGACGCGGCAUGCCAAAUGAAGGUACUUAUGGACCCCCAUGCUCAGCUCCUUGGUCUUUUUAUUGUCUGCUCUGCAGUUGAAUACGUAUGUGUAUGAGUUCACUCUGCACAAAUAUAUAUAUUUGAAUCUGUCUAUCUUAUCACUUGAAUCAGGGCAUCACGUGCAUCCCUCCUCCCUCACGUACACGCACACUGUGUCACCCGAGCUAUGAAGCGGGUCACCUUGAACGGUCUGGAGCGACGCAGUGCGGUGCUGCCCUCGGUGGGUGUGGAUGUGACCACCUCGUCUUUGUCUUGCAGUGGGUGCUGCAGCCCCGGCCUGUGUCGGUCUCUUAGCAGGAGUCUUAGAACCAGACCCCCGGUCCUCUGCUGUCCUUUCUGUCGGCCGCGCUGCUCACGGAGAUGGCCGCUCCCUCCCUGCCUCCUUCCUGACACUGUAAUUAUUGUUUUACAAUCGAGUGCCUUAAUAAUAGUUUACAAAUACUGUGUAUUUAUGGGCAACCGUUAAGCUCUCGCCUUCUGUGAUUGGAUACUUUGCCUCGUCAGUGGUGGUUGGCGUUUUUAGGGCUGGAGCUUGCCUGCCCCGUGCUUGUGCUGGUCUGUUGUGCGGCUUCUCGCACCUGCCCGCAGCCAGGCCAGGAGCGUUGCUAGAAACGGCGCUGGCGGUUUCUGUUGGCAAGGCGGGCACAGUUUCAGCCACGGCCCGGUCCGUAGUAAGCGAGAAAGGAACGGGAUUGGUUUGCUGGCCAGCCGGGGGGGGUGGCGCGAUCCAGGCUCCCCCUGGACCGCAGCGCAGCCCCUCCCCUGUUCCCCCCAUCACGCAACUGUACUCCUGUUCAGUAGAGUUUUUAUUACCACCUAGGCCCCCCUGUUUUCCUCUCUACUGGUGUCCUGAGCUCUUUGCAACAAAAUGCAGGUACAGACCGCCAUCAGGAGCUCCACAAGAUGGGCUGCCCUUUGGUUUUCAGAAGCCGCCAGUGGGUUCCAGUGUGUUGUGUUAUGAUAUCAAUGAUUUUUUUUUAUUAUAUUGUUUUUCUUCUUGUUUUUUUUUAUAUUAUAUAUUUAAAAGGCAGUAUCUUUUGUACUGUGAAUUUGCAGUAGAAGAUGCAGAAUGCACUUUUUUUUUUUUUACUUCUGUUGGUGUGUACAGUAUGUAGUCUGUGUGCUUCUUGUGAUGAAAAUAAACUUUUUCUUUAUAAAUGCCUGAUGACCUCCAAACUUGUGCCAAAAAGCAACAGCCUCUUCCGCCCUUGCCAGGAGACUCGGUUGCAGCUUCGUCAUCGUGAUGGCCUGUGUUGACUGAGCAUCUGCCGGAUGCUGGGCCCCAUGCUAAACACCUGGACAGGUACCAGCAAGGAAACAUCCGAGUCAGAGAUGAAGCCUCCAGCCCUUGGGAAAUCUGACCCACUUCGUGCUCCGAAGGCUAUCCGGGCGGCACAAGCAAGCCGAGCGUCAGCAUUUGCGUGAGCAGAAACCGCAGCACAGAAAAGGAUGCACGGGAAUCUGACCCUAAGAGACAGAUUCUCCCACAAGCGGUUGGAGGUGCCGAGCUCCCUCUGGUUUUGAAAUAGGAUGUCGCAACGGGUGAAGGACAAUGCGACCUACCUCAAGGGGGCAAUAAUUUGAGAAUUAGCUGGUAAUGUAUGCAGACCUCUUCUGCCUGGCACACCACUCGCUGAGUAAGUCAGUGGCAGCUCUUACUGUUGGUACUGGCAGGAGGGAUGGAGGGGAGGGAGGGGAAAAGGAAGUAAACUGCACUGAGCAUCUACUGCUCGCAGGUGUUUCAUGUGUGUUGCUGAGUUGAUCCUCACAGUAGAUGUGACUGUUUUACAAAGAGGUGGAAGCUCAGAGAGCUUAGGUCACCUGGAUAAGGGCCACACAGCCAGGAAGGGACAGAAGCUUGGGGUGCCUGACUCCAAACUCAUACACUUUCUACCCCACCAUCUUCUCUCCAAAGAAGACAGCCCUUAAUGUGCUUAGUGCGUAGUAAGCACUCAGUAAAUAUCAGAUGAGAGUAAAUGAACGAAAUAUGCUGUGAAAAUGGGGCCCAAGUUUCAUUCACCAAGGCUGGGAAAGCUUGGGGACACCCAUGACCGCCUAAACCACGUUCUCCCAGGACAGGGACAUGAAUCAGACACCUCUGGGGCCCCAGCACACUGGGCUUGGCACACUGGACUGAGCCCUAGGUCAACCCCAGGCAUUUACUAUGCAGGAAUCAAUGAAUGCUGACUUUUUAGAGACCAGAAGAAUCUGAAAGGUCAUCCAGACCAGGCCCCUUUGUAACAUCCAUCCAUUCCGUCAUCCUCUCCCAUUCAUGUGCUCCUGCCAUGUGCCAGUUGCCCGAGACAAAGAGGAGCCCGUCUGUUUCACCCCCUGGCAGUCCUGAUGGAAAGCCCAUCUGUAAAAGCUAGGAAGGAAAUACACCACCUGCCAACAGCAAUGGGGUUAGAUGGGGAGGAUUCGAGGUGGACGUUUUUUGCUUUUAUCUAUUCCAAAAUCUCCGCAACAGGAUUAUUAUGUUACUUUCAUACUUAAAAAGGAAAAUGUAAAGAUUUAAUAAAAGGAUGCUUUGGCAUUGAGCUGCAAUUUGCCCUCCAAGCUCCCAGGCUCAUGGUUCUAGGGAAUUCAGCACAGCAUUUUGCGGGGAGGGUCUCUUCUCCCCUCUGAUGGGGUAACAUGGGCCCCCUGGAACAGAAAUUGCACUCAGAUCACUGAGGCUCAGGGGUG